UUGGGACGAAGGUAGUAUAUGAAAACUGCUAACUAGUGACUCUAUGACACUAGUUUUUUUUAUACUUAAUUAAACAUUUGGUCUCUUACGUUUAUUUUAGGUUUCAAUUUGGUUCAUUGCGUUUAAAAAGUAUCAAUUUGGUCUCUUACGUUUCCAUUAGGUAUCAAUUGAGUCAUUUCCGUUAAUUAGUUUUGUCACUAACACCGUUUGAACUAUACACGUGUCAGUGUCAAAGUGUCCACCUGUCUAGCCACAUAUGCAAAUUGAAACUAUUACGUGUAGAAUCCAUUCACAAACUCAACCAUUAGAUCAUUUCAAUCUUUGCAUCAAAUUUAUCAUUGAUUAGUAUAUUACUAAAUCAAUAUGUGAACAGAUGAGUAAGUGAAGUAUAAGUUGUGAAACAUUUAUAUUAGUCUAAGAACAAAAUAGAAAGAGAGAGAAGUGUCUGAUAC
RNAcentral lists this long non-coding RNA (452 nucleotides) under Trifolium pratense (red clover). Its description in RNAcentral is "long non-coding RNA (TPRA_LNC008424)". The record is from RNAcentral. Lineage: Eukaryota; Viridiplantae; Streptophyta; Magnoliopsida; Fabales; Fabaceae.